GAUGAACGCUGGCGGCGUGCCUAAUACAUGCAAGUCGAGCGAACAGAUGAGGAGCUUGCUCCUCUGACGUUAGCGGCGGACGGGUGAGUAACACGUGGAUAACCUACCUAUAAGACUGGGAUAACUUCGGGAAACCGGAGCUAAUACCGGAUAAUAUAUUGAACCGCAUGGUUCAAUAGUGAAAGACGGUUUUGCUGUCACUUAUAGAUGGUUCCGCGCCGCAUUAGCUAGUUGGUAAGGUAACGGCUUACCAAGGCCACGAUGCGUAGCCGACCUGAGAGGGUGAUCGGCCACACUGGAACUGAGACACGGUCCAGACGCCUACGGGAGGCAGCAGUAGGGAAUCUUCCGCAAUGGGCGAAAGCCUGACGGAGCAACGCCGCGUGAGUGAUGAAGGUCUUCGGAUCGUAAAACUCUGUUAUUAGGGAAGAACAAAUGUGUAAGUAACUAUGCACGUCUUGACGGUACCUAAUCAGAAAGCCACGGCUAACUACGUG
Molecule: ribosomal RNA, 497 nt
Filed under: uncultured bacterium
Lineage: Bacteria
Description: partial 16S ribosomal RNA
Rfam family: Bacterial small subunit ribosomal RNA
Source: RNAcentral